This 505-nucleotide ribosomal RNA is filed under the name uncultured bacterium. RNAcentral describes it as "partial 16S ribosomal RNA". It matches the Rfam family "Bacterial small subunit ribosomal RNA", at positions 28 to 507 of the family's 1533-position model. The record is from RNAcentral.
GACGAACGCUGGCGGCGUGCCUAAUACAUGCAAGUAGAACGCACAGUUUAUACCGUAGCUUGCUACACCAUAAACUGUGAGUUGCGAACGGGUGAGUAACGCGUAGGUAACCUGCCUGGUAGCGGGGGAUAACUAUUGGAAACGAUAGCUAAUACCGCAUAAUAUUGAUUAUUGCAUGAUAAUUGAUUGAAAGAUGCUAUUGCAUCACUACCAGAUGGACCUGCGUUGUAUUAGCUAGUAGGUGAGGUAACGGCUCACCUAGGCGACGAUACAUAGCCGACCUGAGAGGGUGAUCGGCCACACUGGGACUGAGACACGGCCCAGACUCCUACGGGAGGCAGCAGUAGGGAAUCUUCGGCAAUGGACGAAAGUCUGACCGAGCAACGCCGCGUGAGUGAAGAAGGUUGUCGGAUCGUAAAGCUCUGUUGUAAGAGAAGAACGGGUGUGAGAGUGGAAAGUUCACACUGUGACGGUAGCUGACCAGAAAGGGACGGCUAACUACGUG